UACGGAGGGUGCAAGCGUUAUCCGGAUUCACUGGGUUUAAAGGGUGCGUAGGCGGGCAGGUAAGUCAGUGGUGAAAUCCUAGAGCUUAACUCUAGAACUGCCAUUGAUACUAUCUGUCUUGAAUAUUGUGGAGGUAAGCGGAAUAUGUCAUGUAGCGGUGAAAUGCUUAGAUAUGACACAGAACACCUAUUGCGAAGGCAGCUUACUACGCAUAUAUUGACGCUGAGGCACGAAAGCGUGGGGAUCAAACAGG
Molecule: ribosomal RNA, 253 nt
Filed under: uncultured bacterium
Lineage: Bacteria
Description: partial 16S ribosomal RNA
Rfam family: Bacterial small subunit ribosomal RNA
Source: RNAcentral